Sycon ciliatum is the source of this 231-nucleotide long non-coding RNA. RefSeq lists it as uncharacterized. The record is from RefSeq and is a predicted model, not a curated record. NCBI's taxonomy places the organism in Eukaryota, Metazoa, Porifera, Calcarea, Leucosolenida, Sycettidae. The transcript is spliced from 3 exons.
UUUUCGGAUGUGCAUGCACGAGGAACUUCCUUCUUUGGAACUGCUUCUUGCAUGAGCUGUUUCGGAUAUUUCGUCUCCUGGCCUGGCUUAUUUCGUUUCGGUGCUGCUGAGACCUCCUUUCGCGGAAUAUUACUCAAUGACAGUGUGCGAAGAACGCGAGUUCCCCUUCUCGACGAAAAUCGUGGACUAACAGUUUGAAGUCAUUGAACUACUUCCAAGAGUUGUAUCGAC